RNAcentral lists this ribosomal RNA (722 nucleotides) under Streptomyces sp. LK2321.3. RNAcentral describes it as "partial 16S ribosomal RNA". It matches the Rfam family "Bacterial small subunit ribosomal RNA", at positions 76 to 813 of the family's 1533-position model. Lineage: Bacteria; Bacillati; Actinomycetota; Actinomycetes; Kitasatosporales; Streptomycetaceae. The record is from RNAcentral.
UCCUUCGGGAGUUCAUUAGUGGCGAACGGGUGAGUAACACGUGGGCAAUCUGCCCUUCACUCUGGGACAAGCCCUGGAAACGGGGUCUAAUACCGGAUACGACCUCCGACCGCAUGGUCUGGUGGUGGAAAGCUCCGGCGGUGAAGGAUGAGCCCGCGGCCUAUCAGCUUGUUGGUGGGGUGAUGGCCUACCAAGGCGACGACGGGUAGCCGGCCUGAGAGGGCGACCGGCCACACUGGGACUGAGACACGGCCCAGACUCCUACGGGAGGCAGCAGUGGGGAAUAUUGCACAAUGGGCGAAAGCCUGAUGCAGCGACGCCGCGUGAGGGAUGACGGCCUUCGGGUUGUAAACCUCUUUCAGCAGGGAAGAAGCGAGAGUGACGGUACCUGCAGAAGAAGCGCCGGCUAACUACGUGCCAGCAGCCGCGGUAAUACGUAGGGCGCAAGCGUUGUCCGGAAUUAUUGGGCGUAAAGAGCUCGUAGGCGGCUUGUCACGUCGGAUGUGAAAGCCCGGGGCUUAACCCCGGGUCUGCAUUCGAUACGGGCAGGCUAGAGUUCGGUAGGGGAGAUCGGAAUUCCUGGUGUAGCGGUGAAAUGCGCAGAUAUCANGANNAACACCGGUGGCGAAGGCGGAUCUCUGGGCCGAUACUGACNCUGAGNANCGAAGCGUUGGGGAGCGAACAGGAUANAUACCCUNGNAGNNCNCNNCNNAAACGUUGGG